GAUGAACGCUGGCGGCGUGCCUAAUACACGCAAGUCGAGCGAACGGACGAGAAGCUUGCUUCUCUGAUGUUAGCGGCGGACGGGUGAGUAACACGUGGAUAACCUACCUAUAAGACUGGGAUAACUUCGGGAAACCGGAGCUAAUACCGGAUAAUAUUUUGAACCGCAUGGUUCAAAAGUGAAAGACGGUCUUGCUGUCACUUAUAUAUGUAUCCGCGCUGCAUUAGCUAGUUGGUGAGGUAACGGCUUACCAAGGCAACGAUGCAUAGCCGACCUGAGAGCGUGAUCGGCCACACUGGAACUGAGACACGGUCCAGACUCCUACGGGAGGCAGCAGUAGGGAAUCUUCCGCAAUGGGCGGAAGCCUGAAGGAGCAAAGCCGCGUGAGUGAUGAAGGUCUUCGGAUCGUAAAACUCUGUUACUAGGGAAGAACAUAUGUGUAAGUAACUGUGCAAAACUUGACGGUACCUAAUCAGAAAGCCACGGCUAACUACGUG
This 497-nucleotide ribosomal RNA is filed under the name uncultured bacterium. Its description in RNAcentral is "partial 16S ribosomal RNA". It matches the Rfam family "Bacterial small subunit ribosomal RNA", at positions 28 to 507 of the family's 1533-position model. The record is from RNAcentral.